UUCCCAUCAGAGUAACUA
Molecule: small nuclear RNA, 18 nt
Filed under: Arabidopsis thaliana (thale cress)
Lineage: Eukaryota; Viridiplantae; Streptophyta; Magnoliopsida; Brassicales; Brassicaceae
Description: snRNA_14865
Source: RNAcentral